RNAcentral lists this ribosomal RNA (1371 nucleotides) under uncultured bacterium. RNAcentral's name for it is "bacterial SSU rRNA". It matches the Rfam family "Bacterial small subunit ribosomal RNA", at positions 28 to 1381 of the family's 1533-position model. The record is from RNAcentral.
GACGAACGCUGGCGGCGUGCCUAAUACAUGCAAGUCGAGCGAAUCGAUGGGAGCUUGCUCCCUGAGAUUAGCGGCGGACGGGUGAGUAACACGUGGGCAACCUGCCUAUAAGACUGGGAUAACUUCGGGAAACCGGAGCUAAUACCGGAUACGUUCUUUUCUCGCAUGAGAGAAGAUGGAAAGACGGUUUCGGCUGUCACUUAUAGAUGGGCCCGCGGCGCAUUAGUUAGUUGGUGAGGUAAUGGCUCACCAAGGCGACGAUGCGUAGCCGACCUGAGAGGGUGAUCGGCCACACUGGGACUGAGACACGGCCCAGACUCCUACGGGAGGCAGCAGUAGGGAAUCUUCCGCAAUGGACGAAAGUCUGACGGAGCAACGCCGCGUGGACGAAGAAGGCCUUCGGGUCGUAAAGUUCUGUUGUUAGGGAAGAACAAGUACCAGAGUAACUGCUGGUACCUUGGCGGUACCUAACCAGAAAGCCACGGCUAACUACGUGCCAGCAGCCGCGGUAAUACGUAGGUGGCAAGCGUUGUCCGGAAUUAUUGGGCGUAAAGCGCGCGCAGGUGGUUCCUUAAGUCUGAUGUGAAAGCCCACGGCUCAACCGUGGAGGGUCAUUGGAAACUGGGGAACUUGAGUGCAGAAGAGGAAAGUGGAAUUCCAAGUGUAGCGGUGAAAUGCGUAGAGAUUUGGAGGAACACCAGUGGCGAAGGCGACUUUCUGGUCUGUAACUGACACUGAGGCGCGAAAGCGUGGGGAGCAAACAGGAUUAGAUACCCUGGUAGUCCACGCCGUAAACGAUGAGUGCUAAGUGUUAGAGGGUUUCCGCCCUUUAGUGCUGCAGCUAACGCAUUAAGCACUCCGCCUGGGGACUACGGCCGCAAGGCUGAAACUCAAAGGAAUUGACGGGGGCCCGCACAAGCGGUGGAGCAUGUGGUUUAAUUCGAAGCAACGCGAAGAACCUUACCAGGUCUUGACAUCCUCUGACAACCCUAGAGAUAGGGCGUUCCCCUUCGGGGGACAGAGUGACAGGUGGUGCAUGGUUGUCGUCAGCUCGUGUCGUGAGAUGUUGGGUUAAGUCCCGCAACGAGCGCAACCCUUGAUCUUAGUUGCCAGCAUUUAGUUGGGCACUCUAAGGUGACUGCCGGUGACAAACCGGAGGAAGGUGGGGAUGACGUCAAAUCAUCAUGCCCCUUAUGACCUGGGCUACACACGUGCUACAAUGGAUGGUACAAAGGGCUGCAAACCUGCGAAGGUAAGCGAAUCCCAUAAAGCCAUUCUCAGUUCGGAUUGUAGGCUGCAACUCGCCUACAUGAAGCCGGAAUCGCUAGUAAUCGCGGAUCAGCAUGCCACGGUGAAUACGUUCCCGGGCCU